CCUACGGGUGGCAGCAGUGGGGAAUAUUGGGCAAUGGGCGAAAGCCUGACCCAGCAACGCCGCGUGAAGGAAGAAGGCUUUCGGGUUGUAAACUUCUUUUAUGAGGGAAGAGCAGGAGACGGUACACCUUGAAUAAGCCACGGCUAACCACGUCACAGCACGCGCGGUAAUACGGAGGUGGCAAGCGUUGUCCGGAAUUACUGGGUGUAAAGGGCGUGCAGCCGGGAAGUCAAGUCAGAUGUUAAAUACAGGGGCUCAACCGCGGAACUGCAUUUGAAACUGGUUUUCUUGAGUACGGUAGAGGUCAUCGGAAUUCCUUGUGUAGCGGUGAAAUGCGUAGAUAUAAGGAAGAACACCAGUGGCGAAGGCGGAUGACUGGGCGGAAACUGACGGUGAGGCGCGAAAGCGUGGGGAGCAAAUAGGAUUAGAUACCCGUGUAGUC
RNAcentral lists this ribosomal RNA (442 nucleotides) under uncultured bacterium. RNAcentral's name for it is "partial 16S ribosomal RNA". It matches the Rfam family "Bacterial small subunit ribosomal RNA", at positions 338 to 795 of the family's 1533-position model. The record is from RNAcentral.